Molecule: transfer RNA, 100 nt
Organism: Exophiala spinifera
Lineage: Eukaryota; Fungi; Ascomycota; Eurotiomycetes; Chaetothyriales; Herpotrichiellaceae
Rfam family: tRNA
About the family: Transfer RNA (tRNA) molecules are approximately 80 nucleotides in length. Their secondary structure includes four short double-helical elements and three loops (D, anti-codon, and T loops).
Source: Rfam
GGUUUUGUAGUGUAGUGGUGAUCACUCCGGAUUUUGACUUCCACACACAAACUGUCAAAAACUCUUUCCGGCAACCCCGGUUCGAACCCGGGCAAGACCU